RNAcentral lists this ribosomal RNA (232 nucleotides) under uncultured bacterium. RNAcentral describes it as "partial 16S ribosomal RNA". It matches the Rfam family "Bacterial small subunit ribosomal RNA", at positions 99 to 334 of the family's 1533-position model. The record is from RNAcentral.
CGGACGGGUGAGUAAUGUAUGGGGAUCUGCCUGAUGGCGGGGGAUAACUACUGGAAACGGUAGCUAAUACCGCAUAAUGUCUACGGACCAAAGCGGGGGACCUCCGGGCCUCGCGCCAUCAGAUGAACCCAUAUGGGAUUAGCUUGUAGGUGGGGUAACGGCUCACCUAGGCGACGAUCCCUAGCUGGUCUGAGAGGAUGACCAGCCACACUGGAACUGAGACACGGUCCAG